This is a long non-coding RNA of Myotis lucifugus (little brown bat), 2614 nucleotides long. RefSeq lists it as uncharacterized. The transcript is spliced from 3 exons. The record is from RefSeq and is a predicted model, not a curated record. NCBI's taxonomy places the organism in Eukaryota, Metazoa, Chordata, Mammalia, Chiroptera, Vespertilionidae.
GAAAAGGAGAAACUGGUAGGCCAAAGGGCUUUAAACUAGGAAAGGGAGAGGGCAGGGGGAGGAAGGGGGAAAUUGGAGUGGCCAGAAAAUUGCAAAGGUCAGUGAUGCAAUCUUGCAACAGCCUGUCACAAUCAUUCAAGCUAAGCCCCACAGGGAGGGAUAGGAGGAAGAGCUGUUUCUGGGAUCAAAAAUUUGAGUCUCUGAAAAAUUUAACAGUAAUCUUUCUUGGGGGAGGGGAUAAGGCAGUUUCCCCAGACAAUUUAGUUAAAAAUAACUACUUUUUGCCUGGGCUAUUCAUAGUUCAGGAGAUAUAUUGGUUUGUGCAGAUUGGUCAAGGUUACCUAAAUAGCUAAUUUAACAUUAUACCUUUUUGUCUGUACACAGUGGUCAAGAUGACAAUGGUCCUAAUUGGGAUUAUUUCUGGGAAGAUUGUAUCCCCUGCUUAUUAUCCUUUUAACCUUGUCAGGCAGGAAAAUUCUAGAACAAGGAGAGAUUGAUAUCAUUCUUGGCAUUUUCUUUGAAUCUCUAAUAACUGGCAGAAAUGAUCUGUAGGCUUUCCCAAGAUCUGUGAGUGUCACAAACAUGGUGGCUUUUGGGAGAACAUGUUACGUGCAUCUUAAUAUCAGGGCCUUUACCUGGUUUCUGCUCUGAAGGUGAGUCAGCCCAGCGAUGAACCCAAAACUCCGAAAUUAACGUGUCAGUAUUUCCGGUGUUUCUGUAACUCGAAGGACGCAAACCACAUGUCCUUCAAGGUCAGCAGACUGUAAUUUAUCUGGGGUUCCCCUUUCUUGUGAUUUCUGGUGGCAAGGCACAUCGGCACCUCACAUGAGUUCUUUUCCUCUUUGAUAAUCUGACUUCAACCCCCAGACCUCACCAGCUUGCUGGCCAGGGCUGGGCAGAGAGGCAUGCUUUGGGGUUGCCUGUGGAGUUGGUGUUCUGGUUUAGGUGUUAGCUGGGGCUGAGAGAGAGAGAUGAAGGGAAUAGAAGGCCGAGGAAUCCACGAUCACCCCCUAGCUAGGAAUUGCUGACACAGCUCCUCUGUCUGGGUGGGGAAAGAGAACCCAGCUUCUAGGGUGGGGGAUUAGAUAGGGCUUAGGAAACUAAACCCAUGCGUUAAAGCACUGAUGUCACUUUAGAGGUGGAAAGUCUUGUGUUGCAACACGCAGGUCAGUCACAGGUUAUUGCUGUGAAGGUCUGAGCAGCCUUGGUGACCAACUGUCCCUCUCUGCUCAGGACUGAGGGGUUUCCCCAAGAUGCAUGACGUACAGUGCUGAAACUGGGGCUGUUCCGGGCUGUCAGGAACAGCUGGUCACCCUACCCUUGAGUCUACCCCAAUAUUUAAUUCUUGACAUUUCUAGGAAGACAAAGAAGGCUAGUUUAAACUUUAUUUUGCUUUCCAAAUCCCUUUCUUCCAAACAUUAAGGUACCCAGAGCCACCUGCAGAGAAAUCAAUAAAAAGGGGUGACGUGUAGUCCAAGGGGGAAGUAGGGAAGAGAGAGCUGUCCCUACAACUGUGCCUUGGAGACUGAAGGAGCAGGGGACAGAGGUCUUUUGGGUGGUUGGUUACGUAUGGACCUCAAUCAUUAGUAGCAUUAUUUUGUUAUCCCAUCAUCCCAUCACCCAAUGCCCUGCUUUAUUCUUCUCAGUAGCCCUUAGUACUGACUUUAUAUAGAUAUGAUUAUUGAUUUGCUUUUUGUAUUGUCUUCCAUAUCCUUUGGAAAAUGAGCUUCAUAAGGACCAGGACUUUAUUUAUUUCUUCCCUGGGUCUCCAGGGCCCAGUAUAUUUCUUGGUACAAAGUAGAUGCUUAAUAGGUAACUAUGGGAUUAAUGAAUGUCAUUCCCACUGGACUGUGAAGCCUGGUGUGUGGGGAACCAUGUUUUCUAAGUUUGCAUGCAGUAAGGUUUUUAGCGGACGUUCAAAGAAGCAUUCAGCCUUUUUUUUGGGGGGGGGGGUUUGCUGUUAGUCCUCUUCUCUCAAAUCCAUCUCAAAUACGACCACUGAAUAAAUCUUCCUAAAUUACAUUUUAUUCUUCAUUGCCUGUGUAAAGCCUGGGGUGAUUUCUCACCCACAUGAUGAAUUUCUGGAUUCUGCAUGUUGAAUUUCUUGGAAUCCAGGACUUCUAUGAUCUGAUCUUCUCUACUCAUCUAACUUUCUCCCCUGCUCAUCUCCAACAAGAACCCUUAGCUCCACAGUAAGGAAGUGAAUUAUUCUGCAACGACAUCAGCUUGAAGGAAGACCCCAAGAUCCAGAUGAGGAUGCAACUCACCGGACAACUUGAUUUAUUAGCUUCAUGAGACCCCGAGGCGCUGUGCCAGACGUCUGACUACAGAAGUGUUUUUCUUGGACUCGGAGCCAGCUUCACUUUCUCAGAUCAUUAUGCAUCUUCACGCAGAGCUUGCUGAGCCGUUUGGGGGUGACACUUUUAAAACUCGUCUGGGAGAAAAAAGUAUCGGUGAUCAACCAAGUGACCGAACAUUCGUCUGGGGACUGAAGGGUGUCCUGGGACAUGGAACUUUCAGAGCUUAAACGAGAGAGUCCUGGCAAACUAGAAUGGUUGCUCACCCCUGCACGAAACUGGAAUUGUCUCCUUGAAGAUUUGCCCUGACCCUGCAG